UAAGCUUUAUUGGUGGAACUUAUACAUCAUGUUUUGGUCGUCUAGCCAUUAUAACAUUGGCUUGGAUGAAUACAUUUCUACAACAACAUUAUUGUAGCAUUUAUCUUUGAAGAUAUGUAUUUUGUAGUCCUUGUUGAAUAGAAAGACUUCUAAUCAGCUAAAAAAGACAUUUCAAAGUGUGUUGGUUUUACAUUUAUAUUUUAUUUAAACUACAUAUUUUGUAAUUGAUUUGUAGUAAUCAAUGUAUUGUAUAUAACUAUCUUUGUUUAUACCAUGGUUAUGAUGUGAUGUAGUAUUGGAUGCCAUAUUCCAUCAAAUGCAUGUAAUUUGGUUUGAUAUUGUAGUAUUCCAUUUACUUAUCAUUUUUUAUUAAUUGACUUUAUUAACAUGUAUUAGGAUUUGAAGACUUAAGUAAAAAAAUCCUAUUGGCUUAACAUUCUUGUUAAGUCAAGUAUUGUGAGUGAUUUUAAGAGGAAAAAAAAAAAAAAAACUUAUAUUGUAAGGAUUUUCUUGGCUAUGGUGAUUAAGCUAUUUAAUAAAUUUUUAGGAUUUUUUUAACUUAAAUUUAUAUUUUUAGAUUCUUCUUUUGUAGUAUGAGAGAUAGCUUAAUUUAUUUGUAUAUAGAUUCAUCAUAUUUUCUUGAAAGUAUGUUGGUUGUGCAUUUAUAUUUGGUUUUGAUUACACACUUUGCAAUUGAUUUAUAAUCCUCAAUAUAUUGUAUAUAACAAACUUUGUGUACACAAUAUAAUGGAUUUUUUUUUUCAUUUCAUAAAUGUUGUAACUAAUUUAUAUAGUUUGAAAUAUUUUAUUAAAUAUUAUAUUAUUUUUCGAAAUUAUUACAUCAAUCUAGAUAUUUAUUGAAUCAAUCCACAUAUGAUAACAAUUAUUAGAAAAUAGAUCAUAUUUAGAUAAAAAAUUCCAUG
This 923-nucleotide long non-coding RNA is filed under the name Physcomitrium patens. Its description in RNAcentral is "long non-coding RNA (PPAT_LNC011198)". Lineage: Eukaryota; Viridiplantae; Streptophyta; Bryopsida; Funariales; Funariaceae. The record is from RNAcentral.